AAGGACAAAGGAACUGUCCUUCAAUUUUUUCAUCAGUGAAAGUUGUGUAAAUACUUACAGAUGUAAGGGCAAUAUAGACUAAUGCGCUAUACGUAAUGACGCGAUUACCCCUCCGUGUUUUUUGAGUUUCUUUUUGUUUGUGUCGUAGAUUUCAUCAAAACCAGGGGCAAGUAUCUAUCUCCAUUAAUCUUUCUACUGAAACAAAAACGAAGAACAAAAAUUCCUCUCUUGAAUCCUUUCUUCUUCGUCGAACUUUUCAUUUUCAUCAAUUUCCCACUCUAAAUUUCGAUUAAUCUUUACUAGAUUUCGACUUUAGAUUACAGAGUUUGGAUUUGGUUGAUUGAAUAUUCAAUCAUCUCUAUACUGUAACCCUAAAUUCGGAAUUGGGUGAAUUGAUUGAACCACCAUCACCAUCACUAAUUCGUCCUCUGCUUUCUACAUCUAAAUGGGUGAACUGAUUGAAGCACCACCACCAUCACCAACUUCAGUCUCUUCUUUCCACACCGCUACCAUAAAGUCACCAUUAACGGUGUAUUUUGAUUCAAUUCAAUUCAAUUCACAAACCCUAUAUACUCACGAUACAUUCAAUUCGAUUCUUCGUUUUUAACUUAGAAUUGAAUUCUGGAUAUGAGUUGAAGAGUUAAUUAUGGGUAUGGAUUGAAAAUUUCAGUUAAAAGUUAAAACUUAGAAAAUCAAAUCCCUUAAUUUUCAUUUUGGGGUUAACUAUUAAAUUUGUUUUCUUCCACACUUCUAAUCGUUUGUUCAUUUUUGCUGUGGAUUCUUGAAGGAGCCAUGUGUUUAUACAAAAUUAACUGAUCUCUGACUUUCAUGUGUUGAACUUACUCAAGGUUGAGGAGUUCAGGAUACCAACAUUUUUUAUUGCAUUAACAUCUUCUAUUACUAUUGUGGAUGGAUUCACUGACUUGUCAUCCACGAAGAAGUCCGAGACUUACUGAUCUAGCUCCAGUUCUUAGGCUUGAGAUUAUGAAUGGUGUUUACUAAAGUUUAAGAAGGUGUUUUGUGGGAAGUAAGUUGAUCUUUAAUGGUUUAAUUCCAUAUGAAAUUUGCUUUCUUUGGUGGUUUCUAGAAACAUAUCAUGGGUUCAUUCUUAUGAAGGGAUAAACUGGAGGAUGCCAUAAGUGCUGAUGCAAUUCAGAGUAUGACUUUGGAAUGUGAAGUCUUAAGCCUCUAAGAACCAUCUCAAUGAAUAGUAUGUGUAAGUCUUCUAUUCUUCGCAAAGUACUUUUAUCACGCUGCCCCAUGACGAUAACGAAAUAGAGGGCAUAUUUAUCAAUGUCAAUGAAAUGAUAACAACUAACUAAGCAUUUUUUAA
Molecule: long non-coding RNA, 1333 nt
Organism: Papaver somniferum (opium poppy)
Lineage: Eukaryota; Viridiplantae; Streptophyta; Magnoliopsida; Ranunculales; Papaveraceae
Exons: 2
Source: RefSeq, a predicted model, not a curated record